ACAGGGUGAAGUUCCUGGUGAUGAAUGA
Molecule: non-coding RNA, 28 nt
Filed under: Homo sapiens (human)
Lineage: Eukaryota; Metazoa; Chordata; Mammalia; Primates; Hominidae
Source: RNAcentral